GCGGGAGUAACUCAGCGGUAGAGUACCUGCCUUCCAAGCAGGUGGUCGCGGGUUCGAAUCCCGUCUCCCGCUCCA
RNAcentral lists this transfer RNA (75 nucleotides) under Dehalococcoidales bacterium. RNAcentral's name for it is "tRNA-Gly". It matches the Rfam family "tRNA". From Rfam's summary of the family: Transfer RNA (tRNA) molecules are approximately 80 nucleotides in length. Their secondary structure includes four short double-helical elements and three loops (D, anti-codon, and T loops). The record is from RNAcentral. Lineage: Bacteria; Bacillati; Chloroflexota; Dehalococcoidia; Dehalococcoidales.